This 747-nucleotide long non-coding RNA is filed under the name Mus spicilegus (steppe mouse). Its description in RNAcentral is "lncRNA (ENSMSIG00000022256.1)". The record is from RNAcentral. Lineage: Eukaryota; Metazoa; Chordata; Mammalia; Rodentia; Muridae.
GUUCGGGGCCUUGAAACAGUGAGCUGUCUUUGUUCGAAAUACAGGUGAACGGCAAUCAUGUGAUUAACACACACACACACAUAAAAAGCUUUUUAACAGCGCCCGCCUGGCCUCAGAACUGCCCGGAGAGAAGCCGCCUUGGAUGGACAGAGGGACGGAGCAGCAAGCAUCCGGCUUCCCCGGCUCCCCUGCAGCGGUCUCCAACUGCUGUCUGCCCGCUGCCCGCCUGCCUGGCAUCUCUCUCCCGUGCUUCCUAUAUGGCAAGCCAGGGACUGAAACUUACGAUUUGACUGGACAAUCUAUAAGGUGCUAGCUGCAUUCCUGGCCUGGGAGCAGGGAGCCUGUCUGACCCCUGUGUCACACUGGAUGGUUUUACAGAGGUGCCCCACCUGAUGCUGGAUGGAAGUCAUCACCCUACAGUGUGGGUAUCAAGGGGGAACAAGGGGGCUAGGAAGCUCCAGAGGGAUUAGGUGGUCUCCAGUCACUCCCCUCUGUGUGAACCCUGCUGCUCUUCCACUCUGGAGCUGGAAAGCUGUCAGCUGCCACGCCAUGGUGCCAAGCACAUAGUAGGACUUCAAGCAUGUUUGCCCUGUACUUGUCUGCUCUUGGCUGACUUCAAAGCCUUGUCCCCCAACUACCCACAUGGCCACCUUACUCAACAGAAAUAUUCCUGUGAUAGAGACAGAAGGGCCCCCUGUUGGUCUGGAGGGUAUGGGGGGCAUUGAUCUCCCCACUAUCCAAACCAAA